RNAcentral lists this long non-coding RNA (718 nucleotides) under Panax ginseng (ginseng). RNAcentral describes it as "long non-coding RNA (PGIN_LNC013070)". Lineage: Eukaryota; Viridiplantae; Streptophyta; Magnoliopsida; Apiales; Araliaceae. The record is from RNAcentral.
GGAAUAACUUGUCUACGCGGAUUACCGCAUGCCUGGUGAAUAACCAUUCGUAUUUAUUCUUUAUUAAUAUAUUGGAAUAACCUGUCUACGCGGAUUACAGCAUGCUUGGUGAAUAACCCUUCGUAUUCAUUCUUUAUUAAGUUGUGGAAAUGAUCUCUCUACGCGGAUUACCGUAUGACUGGUGAAAAUCCAUUUGCAGUUUAAUUCGUAUAUUCUUUCAUAGUUGUAAGACCCCAAAUUUUAUGAAUAAAGAUGAUUUUUCUAUAAAUAUCAUUUUUAAAUAUUAAGGUGUAAAUUUGAAAUAAUGUUAUAAUUGUGGGUAAUAUUUAUAAAUUUUGCAAAGUACGCAAGUUGUUUUAUAAUAUUCGAUUGGUCGGGGAAUAUUCGUUUUAACAGGGAAUAUUCGUACGAUGACACAAUCAUUGGUGGACCCCACAACAGAAUUAUUGUCGGAUUGAGAAAACAACAAAAAUAUUUUAUGAAAAUAACGACGGAAGUUUUACUGUUAACUGUUGAAACACCCGGUGUUAAAAGUACAGUAAUACGCGUGGUUGCAUAGUAUCACAUGGUUUUGAUUAUUGAUGCUUACGUGAGAAGUCACUCAGUUUUGUUCAAUUAUUGCUAUAGUAAUUGUUGCAUAGUAUUUCACGUUAUUUGAUUCAAUUAUUGUCGAUAUUUUAUAUAUUAUUAAAUCAAUAAUUGAGAUGACGAAGUUAUU